CUGAUGCAGCGACGCCGCGUGAGCGAUGAAGGCCUUCGGGUCGUAAAGCUCUGUCCUAGGGGAAGAAGAAUGACGGUACCCUAGGAGGAAGCCCCGGCUAACUACGUGCCAGCAGCCGCGGUAA
Molecule: ribosomal RNA, 124 nt
Filed under: uncultured bacterium
Lineage: Bacteria
Description: partial 16S ribosomal RNA
Rfam family: Bacterial small subunit ribosomal RNA
Source: RNAcentral